GGGGAAUAUUGCACAAUGGGCGAAAGCCUGAUGCAGCAACGCCGCGUGAGUGAAGAAGGUUUUCGGAUUGUAAAGCUCUGUCAUCUGGGACGAUAAUGACGGUACCAGAUGAGGAAGCCACGGCUAACUACGUGCCAGCAGCCGCGGUAAUACGUAGGUGGCAAGCGUUGUCCGGAAUUACUGGGCGUAAAGGGUGCGCAGGCGGACAUUUAAGUGAGAUGUGAAAUACCCGGGCUUAACCCGGGCAGUGCAUUUCAAACUGGGUGUCUGGAGUGCAGGAGAGGAGAACGAAAUUCCUAGUGUAGCGGUGAAAUGCGUAGAGAUUAGGAAGAACACCAGUGGCGAAGGCGGUUCUCUGGACUGUAACUGACGCUGAGGCACGAAAGCGUGGGGAGCAAAC
Molecule: ribosomal RNA, 400 nt
Filed under: uncultured bacterium
Lineage: Bacteria
Description: bacterial SSU rRNA
Rfam family: Bacterial small subunit ribosomal RNA
Source: RNAcentral